This 164-nucleotide small nuclear RNA is filed under the name Macaca nemestrina (pig-tailed macaque). RNAcentral describes it as "U1 spliceosomal RNA (ENSMNEG00000023994.1)". It matches the Rfam family "U1 spliceosomal RNA". From Rfam's summary of the family: U1 is a small nuclear RNA (snRNA) component of the spliceosome (involved in pre-mRNA splicing). Lineage: Eukaryota; Metazoa; Chordata; Mammalia; Primates; Cercopithecidae. The record is from Rfam by way of RNAcentral.
AUACUUACCUGGCAGGGGAGAUACCAUGAUCACGAAGGUGGUUUUCCCAGGGCGAGGCUUAUCCAUUGCACUCCGGAUGUGCUGACUCCUGCGAUUUCCCCAAAUGUGGGAAACUCGACUGCAUAAUUUGUGGUAGUGGGGGACUGCGUUCGCGCUUUCCCCUG